RNAcentral lists this long non-coding RNA (1399 nucleotides) under Lonchura striata (white-rumped munia). RNAcentral's name for it is "domestica (Bengalese finch) lncRNA (ENSLSDG00000016894.1)". The record is from RNAcentral. Lineage: Eukaryota; Metazoa; Chordata; Aves; Passeriformes; Estrildidae.
UUUCCUUUUCCUUUUCCUUUUCCUUUUCCUUUUCCUUUUCCUUUUCCUUUUCCUUUUCCUUUUCCUUUUCCUUUUCCUUUUCCUUUUCCUUUUCCCCUUUCCUUUUCCCCUUUCCCUUUCCCCUUUCCCCUUCCCUUUCCCCUCCCUCAGCCGGGGUAUUUAAUGCUUUCCCUGCAUCCCAACCUCUGCUUUUCACCGCGCCUGGAGCACAGCCGGCGCGGGGGCCUCGCCUCUCCAUUGCGGAGGAGCGGGAACGUGGAAAAGCCUCUGGAAAAGCUUCUCCUGCUAAUGGCAGUGCGGGAGAAGGCGGCGGAGGCUCAGCCUCCCCCGGGCAUCCUCCCAGCGGGGUGGGACCCGACCCGGAGCGCUCAUCCUGGGGAUGGUGAGGAAGCCGCCGCUGCCCUUCCCGCUGCCAGGCUGGCUUUGGGGCUGGGAAAGGGAAAAGAUCCUCCCUGGGAGCUGGGAAAAGUGGAGGCGCUGCCGGAGGUCGAUGUGUGUUGGCAUCGGGACCUCAGGGUGCCCUGCUGGCUUGGGUGCGGGCACUCACCGGCCCUCCCGGGGCACUCGGUAGCUCAGGCUGGCUGUAGGGAUGCUGGGUGCGGCUGUAGGGAUGCUGGGUGCGGCUGUAGGGAUGCUGGGUGCCCGGGGGCAUCGCCCGCAGCUCAGGGCACUCCUUUUUCUCUCUCUCUCUCGGCUCCGCGCUGCCUUGUGCAGCGGGGUGAGAGCAAAGCAGCGUUUCCUCAUCACCCGAGGGCUUCGCCGGGCACGGAGCGGGGGCUGGAUGGGGAGGAGCCGCUCACCUCAUUAGCCAGGUUCCCAACCGACCUCGCCGAGCCCAAAGGCGGCCGGCUGCCACCUCCUGCGGGCACCCCCGUGCCAGCCUCCGGCACGCAGGAGCUGCGCUGGCGGUGGGAUGCGGGCACCGGGCACAGCGGCGCCAGCGGCCAGGGCCGGCGGCGGAGCUGGAGAGCCGCGUCCCGCUGAGAGGAUGAAAACAUGGGGCUCAAGUUCUCCUGCCUGAAAGGCUUGAAGAUGUGCGUGAGCAGCGGGAACGGCAGCGAGGGGACCCCAGCGGGACAGAAGCACCUGCACGUGCCCUCCAUCAUCGUCACGCCUCCCACGCCCACGGGGACCACGCUGUCCCGCGAGGGCCGGCGCGGGGAGAGCCCCUCGCCCUGCAGCCCGUGCUGAGAGGGGACACGGGGGGACCCCCAGCCCGGCAGGAGCUGUCCCCUCUCCUCGGGAUGGAGCCCCCAGGCCACGGCCGGGCCGGACGAAGCUGCCAGGGACACGCGGGGCACCCACGCGGGUGGGUUUGGACAGCAGGGACCGGGGUUUGUCCCUUUUGCUAUUCCCCCCACGGCGAAUAAAAACCCGCACCCCCAGUUCGGCUGUGGCA